CCUACGGGAGGCAGCAGUGGGGAAUAUUGCACAAUGGGGGAAAGCCUGAUGCAGCAACGCCGCGUGAGGGAUGACGGCCUUCGGGUUGUAAAGCGCUUUCUUCAGGGACGAAAAUGACGGUACCUGAGGAGUAAGCCACGGCUAACUACGUGCCAGCAGCCGCGGUAAUACGUAGGUGGCGAGCGUUGUCCGGAUUUACUGGGCGUAAAGGGAGCGGAGGCGGACUUUGAAAUGAGAUGUGAAAUACUCGGGCUCAACUUGAGUGCUGCAUUGCAAACUGGAAGUCUAGAGUGCAGGAGAGGAGACUGGAAUUCCUAGUGUAGCGGUGAAAUGCGUAGAGAUUAGGAAGAACACCAGUGGCGAAGGCGGUUCUCUGGACUGUAACUGACGCUGAGGCUCGAAAGCGUGGGGAGCAAACAGGAUUAGAUACCCUGGUAGUC
Molecule: ribosomal RNA, 440 nt
Filed under: uncultured bacterium
Lineage: Bacteria
Description: partial 16S ribosomal RNA
Rfam family: Bacterial small subunit ribosomal RNA
Source: RNAcentral